RNAcentral lists this long non-coding RNA (383 nucleotides) under Mus spicilegus (steppe mouse). RNAcentral describes it as "lncRNA (ENSMSIG00000028713.1)". Lineage: Eukaryota; Metazoa; Chordata; Mammalia; Rodentia; Muridae. The record is from RNAcentral.
CAGGGGCCUCAGAACCCCAGCAGGCAGCCUGUCUCCUUGUUGUGUAGCUUGCUAGAUGGACUAAAUGUAUAUCCUCCUUGGCCACACCGCCAUAUUGCCAAGCUCUGUCACCUAUCUUUCAUCAGCUUUUGGAAAUAUGUUACAGUGAUUUCUGUAGGGACAGGAAGUCAUCCUGUGACCAGUUCUGACCAGUGGGACAUGGGUGGCAGCUCCUGGGAAGAGCUUUCGCAAGCACAUGGACUCUGCUCUCUGCCCCUUCUCCUUUCUUCCUGCUUUGAACACAAGCAAAACACCCCUGUGGAGAUGCAGUAACCGUGCUUGAAGGCUGGUAACACAGGAAGCCAGAUGGACUGGACAAUCAGCAGAGAAAUCACUUGUGUGCU